UCGAGGUCAACUAGUCAUGAAUGACAUCAUUAAUAAAAACAAGAGAUAGGAAUGAUAUGCAACAUGCCACAAUUUGCUAUUUAAUUGCAAAAAGAUUAUACAAAUGCUGACAGACAGCUUAUAACAUGUUGAAACUUAAUAGUAACAAUACAACAAUAAUACUAACUCCAAUUUAAGUGCAAAGGAAAUAAAAUUUAUGCAUAUGUUGGCAAUUACAAGGUGAUAAUGACACUUGUGCAAACUCUAGAUUAUGAUUGGAUAGGAUUAGAAUUAAAUUAGAAUGAAUAUGUUUCGAUGACUUUUUCGAUGACUUUUUCAGGGGUUAAGUUUUAAAUGCAGCAUAACCAACAGAACAUGAUUCAGAUAUCGUCAAUCACAUAUCUGCAGUGCUUCUGUGAAUGGAGAGAAACAGACAAAAUGAUUAAAUUCAGUUUUCUUUUAUUUGUAUAGCACUUUUCACCAUAAAAUCAUUGCAAAGGAGCUUCACAAAAAAUGAAAGUUUCUACACUACAUUUAGGAGUAGUUUAUCAGUGUUGACUAUGUCAAUAUGAUGUCCAUAUGACAGAAAUGGACAGUAAAAAUCAUGCUGUUAGUUAAUGACGUGUAUUCAAACAGAAACAGUGUACAAAUGUUGUGAUAAAACUUAUAGGAAAUUUGGUAGUUUUGUAUGUUGGUUCAGGGUUGUCAUCAUCUGAGGUCCUCUGAGGGGUUGGCAUCCUCUCUUCUCCGGUGUUCGGUCAUCUUAAAUCUUCAUAAGAGGUUGGAUAUAGAGGUUGGAUAUGGAGGUUGCAAAUAGAGAAAAAUUAGCAUAGCUGCUGUUCAAACCAAUCAAAGAAUGGUGAUGUGCAUUCAAUCAGAUGGAUGUAACUGGACUACAAGGUUAUGAGAUACAUUACGUGAAUUCUUGGCUAAAGACAUGUGUCUUUAAUCUAGAUUUAAACAGAGAGAGUGUGUCUGAACCCUAAAUAUUACCAGGAAGUCUAUUCCAGAGUUUAGGAGCUAAAUGCGAUAAAGCUUCUUUAGUGGACUUUGCUAUCCUAGGUACUACCAAAAGUCCAGAGUUUCGCGACCUUAAGGAGUGUGAUGGAUUGUAGCUUGAUAGAAAACUGGUUAGGACUGAUUAAGUAAUAUUUUGUAACUGAUACAAAACUUAAAAGGUAGCCAGUGUAGAGACUGUAAGAUUGGGGUAAUAUUAUCAUAUUUUCUUUACCUGAUAAGUGCAAAUGGCUUGUUGUUACUCUAAAGCACAUUUUAUACUUGAUCCAACUUAAUUUACUUUUCUGUCUUGUCAUUGAACUAAAGUAAAUUAUUUACUUACUUUGGAAGUACAGCUAUGUUUUGUUGGUGUAAUUUAGACUAUUUGCUACAUAUCAAAUCAAUAAUUUUGCAUUCUGUGAAAACCACUGAUGUCAUCGAGGUUCAGUUUGUGAAUUUUCUGAUCGACGGCCACUUGUUUUCCCACAUCAAGACCAAAGCUGAUACACAAUUCCACAAUAUCGGAAAGAUGUUUUUAAUGACUAUUCACCACAGUUUGGAGAUGUAAUCUAGUCAAAGGACCACUACCCAUACCAGCCAAUUCCAAAGCAAUACAUACAUGUUUGAGCAGGAAAAACACACUUUGGAGAAGGUGAUGAACUCUGUAAGUACAGGAAAAACCAGACUUGCUUGGCAGAAAAUAAACUUUUUCUUUGUUUGUUUGUUUCUACAGAUGGACACAGAGACUUAAGAGUUAGUUCACUCAAAAAUGAAAAAUCUGUGAUUUACUCACCCUCAUGUUGUUCCAAACCCAUAAGACUUUCACAUAAGAGUCUACACCGGAUGCGAGCAGCGUGGUGCGGCGUGACACGACAAAAUACUAUGGAACCCAUUAUAAUCAGUGAUGCUGUUUACAUUGGAUGCGGCGCAACAUGACACGACAGAUCCUGACCGUAAACUGAUGCCUUGAUCUAUUUAUGAUGUACUGACAAAGUUCAAGUGAUUUGUAAUGGUCGCUUUAUCACAUCCAGUGUGGACAGCCUCAAGUUGUUCCGGCGUGGCGCGAAGCUACAACUGUCGCACCCGAUGUAAACGUGGUAUUUGGUUCAUUUUUGAAACACAGAUUAAGUUUUUUUAAUGAAACUUGAGAGAUUUCUGUCCAUCCAUAGAAAGUUUAGGUAAUGACAGUGGUGGACGAAGUACA
This is a long non-coding RNA of Cyprinus carpio (common carp), 2179 nucleotides long. RefSeq lists it as uncharacterized. Lineage: Eukaryota; Metazoa; Chordata; Actinopteri; Cypriniformes; Cyprinidae. The record is from RefSeq and is a predicted model, not a curated record.